This 140-nucleotide small nucleolar RNA is filed under the name Salix viminalis (osier). It matches the Rfam family "Small nucleolar RNA Z247". Rfam says of the family: Z247 is a member of the C/D class of snoRNA which contain the C (UGAUGA) and D (CUGA) box motifs. Most of the members of the box C/D family function in directing site-specific 2'-O-methylation of substrate RNAs. Lineage: Eukaryota; Viridiplantae; Streptophyta; Magnoliopsida; Malpighiales; Salicaceae. The record is from RNAcentral.
CCUCUAAACCAUGAUGAUAUUAUAACUUAUAUUCUUGCAGGUCUUAACCAUGAGUAUGACAGCUUUGUUGCAUCAAUAUCAGCACGCACUGAUGAUAUCACACUUGAAGAAAUCUACUCCCUUCUGCUGACCUCUGAAGC